AGAGUUUGAUCCUGGCUCAGAUUGAACGCUGGCGGCAUGCCUUACACAUGCAAGUCGAACGGCAGCACGGGGGCAACCCUGGUGGCGAGUGGCGAACGGGUGAGUAACAUAUCGGAACAUACCCUAGAGUGGGGGAUAACGUAGCGAAAGUUACGCUAAUACCGCAUACGAUCUAAGGAUGAAAGUGGGGGAUCUUCGGACCUCAUGCUCAUGGAGUGGCCGAUAUCUGAUUAGCUAGUUGGUGAGGUAAAGGCUCACCAAGGCGACGAUCAGUAGCUGGUUUGAGAGAACGACCAGCCACACAGGAACUGAGACACGGUCCAGACUCCUACGGGAGGCAGCAGUGGGGAAUUUUGGACAAUGGGGGCAACCCUGAUCCAGCAAUGCCGCGUGAGUGAAGAAGGCCUUCGGGUUGUAAAGCUCUUUUGUCAGGGAAGAAACGGUGAGUUCUAAUACAGCUUGCUAAUGACGGUACCUGAAGAAUAAGCACCGGCUAACUACGUGCCAGCAGCCGCGGUAAUACGUAGGGUGCAAGCGUUAAUCGGAAUUACUGGGCGUAAAGCGUGCGCAGGCGGUUAUAUAAGUCAGAUGUGAAAUCCCUGGGCUCAACCUAGGAACUGCAUUUGAGACUGUAUGGCUAGAGUGUGUCAGAGGGGGGUAGAAUUCCACGUGUAGCAGUGAAAUGCGUAGAGAUGUGGAGGAAUACCGAUGGCGAAAGCAGCCCCCUGGGAUAACACUGACGCUCAUGCACGAAAGCGUGGGGAGCAAACAGGAUUAGAUACCCUGGUAGUCCACGCCCU
RNAcentral lists this ribosomal RNA (800 nucleotides) under uncultured bacterium. RNAcentral describes it as "bacterial SSU rRNA". It matches the Rfam family "Bacterial small subunit ribosomal RNA", at positions 8 to 803 of the family's 1533-position model. The record is from RNAcentral.